This 113-nucleotide non-coding RNA is filed under the name uncultured Faecousia sp. RNAcentral describes it as "FTHFS RNA". It matches the Rfam family "FTHFS RNA". The record is from RNAcentral. Lineage: Bacteria; Bacillati; Bacillota; Clostridia; Eubacteriales; Oscillospiraceae.
UCGGUACUUAAGUACCGAUUAAAGCUGUGCAGUGAGCCACUUCAACGGCAGCUGCAUAAAUCCUGUAUGGGCCGAUCCACAGAAAACGGUAGGUACCAACACAUUACAAGGAG